Molecule: long non-coding RNA, 287 nt
Organism: Leucoraja erinaceus (little skate)
Lineage: Eukaryota; Metazoa; Chordata; Chondrichthyes; Rajiformes; Rajidae
Exons: 2
Source: RefSeq, a predicted model, not a curated record
UAAAGCCAAACCAUUAAUGGAACUACAUCCAUUCCUGCUAGAGUGCUUGGAAGACAGUCAUACAAUAAACCUUUGCUUUUACAGACCUAAUUAUAACGGAUUUUGCUUAUAGCAAUUAAAAUCUGUUGUAACUGAGGUAUCCAUUCGUAUUGGGCAGGUCAGGAAACUUCAGGAUUGAAAAUAGUUAUAUUAUGGCUUCAUAAAAUGGAGAUUUACUGUAUGUCUGAUAAACCUCUGCCAGCAGAAUGUCUCCCCUGGAGAAGGAAGUGACAGGGAAACGCCAUUAA